RNAcentral lists this long non-coding RNA (627 nucleotides) under Vigna radiata. Its description in RNAcentral is "long non-coding RNA (VRAD_LNC009272)". The record is from RNAcentral. Lineage: Eukaryota; Viridiplantae; Streptophyta; Magnoliopsida; Fabales; Fabaceae.
GUGAGUGUAUCUCGUCAAACUCAACUUCUAUUCUAUACAUAGGUUUUUCAUCAAGUUCAAUGGACAAUCACAAUUAUUGUACAUUUGAUGGUGGAAAUUUUGAGUUGGAUCUGCAAAUAGAUUGAUGGAGACUGCUUUGAGGAGACUCAUUCAACAUAAGAUGAUCUUCCAAAUGGGUUGAUGAAGCUUCUUCAAAGGGGGACUCCAUGUGAGAAGAUAAAGUAAAGGAAGAAAAUAGAGAUGAAGAGAUGAAGAUGUUUGUGUUGUGCGAUCUUGGUAGAUGCCCCUCUAAGAGGUUAGACCAACCAUGAAGGAGAAUGUAUGAAGAGGUCUAAAAGAAAACAUUUCAUAAGGUGAGAACUCAAGAAUAAAAGUCUUGCAAUUUUAGCAAAGUGACUUUAGAUUUAAUCAAACUCUAAAAAAUGAUACAAUGUUGCCUCUCCUUUUAUUAGUGAAGGAGUAGGCUAGGAUUCAAUGCACCUAAGACGAACUAGAAGCUUCCUAUGGAAAAUGGGGAGGAAUGAGAGCCUUCUCCUUAAUUACCGUCCAAGUUCAAUGUAAGGAAGUCUGCCUUGAUGUUGACAUCUUCUAGAAUGAGCCCUAUUCACUAGUGUAGUUAAAGGAAUA